GAGUUUGAUCCUGGCUCAGGAUUAACGCUGGCAGAAUGCCUAACACAUGCAAGUCGAACGGAUCUUGCUGAUUGAAGUGGAGUAGCUUGCUACAAAGCGGAUUGAAGCGCUGAUUAGUGGCGAACGGGCGAGUAACGCGUAUUCAAUCUCCCUCCGAGUUGAGGAAAACUAUAGAGAUAUAGCUAAUCCUCAAUGGUCUCAUAUGAAUGAAAAUAGUAUGAGUAAAGGUUUACCGCUUGGAGAAGAGGAUGCGUCCUAUCAGGUAGUUGGCGGGAUAAAAGCCCACCAAGCCUAUGACGGGUAGCCGGUCUGAGAGGAUGGUCGGCCGCAAUGGGACUGAGACACGGCCCAUACCCCUACGGGGGGCAGCAGUGGGGAAUCUUGGACAAUGGGGGAAACCCUGAUCCAGCAAUUCUGCGUGCGGGAUGAAGGUCUAUGGAUUGUAAACCGCUUUUCUGAAGGAAGACGAAUGACGGUACUUCAGGAAUAAGCGACGGCUAACUUCGUGCCAGCAGCCGCGGUAAUACGAAGGUCGCAAGCGUUAUCCGGAGUUACUGGGCGUAAAGAGUUCGUAGCUGGUCUAGUAAGUCUGAUUUUAAAGACUCUGUCUCAAGCAGAGGAAGGGGUCAGAUACUGCUAUUCUGGAGAUAACUGGGGGUUAGUGGAAUUACCGGUGGAGGGGUGAAAUCCGUUGAUAUCGGUAGGAACGCCAAAAGCGAAAGCAACUAACUAUGGUUUUCUGACAGUCAAGAACGAAAGCUCGGGGAUCAAACGGGAUUAGAUACCCCGGUAGUCCGAGCCGUAAAUUAUGUCUGCUAAGUGUUUGGGUUUAUACCCCCAAGUGCUGUUACCUAACGGGUUAAGCAGAUCGCCUGGGUAGUAUACUCGUCAAGAGUGAGACUCAAAGGGAUAGGCGGGGGACCC
This 924-nucleotide ribosomal RNA is filed under the name uncultured candidate division SR1 bacterium. RNAcentral describes it as "bacterial SSU rRNA". It matches the Rfam family "Bacterial small subunit ribosomal RNA", at positions 9 to 923 of the family's 1533-position model. Lineage: Bacteria; Candidatus Absconditibacteriota. The record is from RNAcentral.